GAUGAACGCUGGCGGCGUGCCUAAUACAUGCAAGUCGAGCGAACAGACGAGGAGCUUGCUCCUCUGACGUUAGCGGCGGACGGGUGAGUAACACGUGGAUAACCUACCUAUAAGACUGGGAUAACUUCGGGAAACCGGAGCUAAUACCGGAUAAUAUAUUGAACCGCAUGGUUCAAUAGUGAAAUACGGUUUUGCUGUCACUUAUAGAUGGAUCCGCGCCGCAUUAGCUAGUUGGUAAGGUAACGGCUUACCAAGGCAACGAUGCGUAGCCGACCUGAGAGGGUGAUCGGCCACACUGGAACUGAGACACGGUCCAGACUCCUACGGGAGGCAGCAGUAGGGAACCUUCCGCAAUGGGCGAAAGCCUGACGGAGCAACGCCGCGUGAGUGAUGAAGGUCUUCGGAUCGUAAAACUCUGUUAUUAGGGAAGAACAAAUGUGUAAGUAACUAUGCACGUCUUGACGGUACCUAAUCAGAAAGCCACGGCUAACUACGUG
Molecule: ribosomal RNA, 497 nt
Filed under: uncultured bacterium
Lineage: Bacteria
Description: partial 16S ribosomal RNA
Rfam family: Bacterial small subunit ribosomal RNA
Source: RNAcentral